RNAcentral lists this ribosomal RNA (119 nucleotides) under Moschus moschiferus (Siberian musk deer). The record is from RNAcentral. Lineage: Eukaryota; Metazoa; Chordata; Mammalia; Artiodactyla; Moschidae.
GUCUACAGCCAUACCACCCUGAACGUGCCCAACCUCAUCUGAUCUCAGAAGCUAAGCAGGAUCGGGCCAGGUUAGUACUUGAAUGGGAGACCGUCUGGAAAUACCAGGUGCUGCAGGGA